RNAcentral lists this long non-coding RNA (469 nucleotides) under Elaeis guineensis (African oil palm). Its description in RNAcentral is "long non-coding RNA (EGUI_LNC060590)". Lineage: Eukaryota; Viridiplantae; Streptophyta; Magnoliopsida; Arecales; Arecaceae. The record is from RNAcentral.
CCGCUCUGCUCCACUUCCUGUGGUGGAUUCCGCACAGCUCCACUACCCCCUGGCAGGCCACAAUAACGGCCACGAACCUGCUCCACCUCCUGCGAUGGAUAUCGGGCGAUUCUCCCACCCGCUGGCAAGUCACGACAACGGACGUUGCUCCACUCCUCGCAACUGAUUCCACGUGGCGAGCUACGGUGAUAGCCACGAUUCAGCUCCAUUACCCCUCGCAAUAAAUUCCCUCUGAUUAUGGGCGGCCCACGACCAGACGGUUACAGACGUCGCCAUCAAUCCGUUACCUCCUCCGCCUAUAAAAAGGGGGGAUCCAGAUACGUUAUUCUCUAAGCUCAUUUCUUAUCUCAAAACUUUGCUAAAUUCUCCGUUCGAGCACUCCAUUCUUGUUGAGGUAGAGAACUGACUUGAGCGUCGGAGGGUCUUGCCGGAGCAACCCCACCUCCGGUCUAGACUUCCUUUGCAGGUC